This 484-nucleotide ribosomal RNA is filed under the name uncultured bacterium. Its description in RNAcentral is "partial 16S ribosomal RNA". It matches the Rfam family "Bacterial small subunit ribosomal RNA", at positions 30 to 507 of the family's 1533-position model. The record is from RNAcentral.
AUUGAACGCUGGCGGCAGGCCUAACACAUGCAAGUCGAGCGGAUGAAGGGAGCUUGCUCCUGGAUUCAGCGGCGGGCGGGUGUGUAAUGCCUAGGAAUCUGCCUGGUAGUGGGGGAUAACGUCCGGAAACGGGCGCUAAUACCGCAUACGUCCUGAGGGAGAAAGUGGGGGAUCUUCGGACCUCACGCUAUCAGAUGAGCCUAGGUCGGAUUAGCUAGUUGGUGGGGUAAAGGCCUACCAAGGCGACGAUCCGUAACUGGUCUGAGAGGAUGAUCAGUCACACUGGAACUGAGACACGGUCCAGACUCCUACGGGAGGCAGCAGUGGGGAAUAUUGGACAAAGAGCGAAAGCCUGAUCCAGCCAUGCCGCGUGUUUGAAGAAGGUCUUCGGAUUGUAAAGCACUUUAAGUUGGGAGGAAGGGCAGUAAGUUAAUACCUUGCUGUUUUGACGUUACCAACAGAAUAAGCACCGGCUAACUUCGUG